AGUUUUAUAUUCAAUACAUGAUAUUAAAUUGCAAAUUUAAAGUAGUAAUUAUUUACUAAAACUU
This 64-nucleotide transfer RNA is filed under the name Phryganea cinerea. Its description in RNAcentral is "tRNA-Cys". The record is from RNAcentral. Lineage: Eukaryota; Metazoa; Arthropoda; Insecta; Trichoptera; Phryganeidae.